GAUAAGGUGCAAGGGAACCAAUAAUAAUGGAAGCAAAAAGGUUGAAUUCUGAAGCAAAUAAAGGACAAGUGUGGCGGACAACAUUCAUGAUAAGUCGUUAGCCUGGUGAUAAGCUAUCAAGGCCACCGUCAGACUUAACCAGAGAAUGGGAGUUGAAGAGAAGUUGUAAUGACAUUUUGUGACAAGGCAUCAAGAGUUGUGAUAAGGCAUCAGGAUCAUUGUCAGCCUUAGGCAGAAAUUAUAAAAAGGAAAGAGGA
Molecule: long non-coding RNA, 257 nt
Filed under: Capsicum annuum
Lineage: Eukaryota; Viridiplantae; Streptophyta; Magnoliopsida; Solanales; Solanaceae
Description: long non-coding RNA (CANN_LNC011019)
Source: RNAcentral